This 199-nucleotide long non-coding RNA is filed under the name Elaeis guineensis (African oil palm). RNAcentral's name for it is "long non-coding RNA (EGUI_LNC009976)". Lineage: Eukaryota; Viridiplantae; Streptophyta; Magnoliopsida; Arecales; Arecaceae. The record is from RNAcentral.
AAUUGAUCAACUCUUGAUCAACCUUUAAACCUCUUGAUCAACUCCUUGAUCAGCCUUUGCUCCUUUCUUGAAGCUUUUUUGAUGUAUUUCAGCCACCAACCAAAAGGAGGAAGAAGGAGGGGACGCCCAACCAGAUUUGGGCAUGUAGAAACUUGGAUAUCCAAGCUUUAGGCAUUGGAGAAAGAGAGGGAGAGAGGGG